GAUGAACGCUGGCGGCGUGCCUAAUACAUGCAAGUCGAGCGAACAGACGAGGAGCUUGCUCCUCUGACGUUAGCGGCGGACGGGUGAGUAACACGUGGAUAACCUACCUAUAAGACUGGGAUAACUUCGGGAAACCGGAGCUAAUACCGGAUAAUAUAUUGAACCGCAUGGUUCAAUAGUGAAAGACGGUUUUGCUGUCACUUAUAGAUGGAUCCGCGCCGCAUUAGCUAGUUGGUAAGGUAACGGCUUACCAAGGCGACGAUGCGUAGCCGACCUGAGAGGGUGAGCGACCACACUGGAACUGAGACACGGUCCAGACUCCUACGGGAGGCAGCAGUAGGGAAUCUUCCGCAAUGGGCGAAAGCCUGACGGAGCAACGCCGCGUGAGUGAUGAAGGUCUUCGGAUCGUAAAACUCUGUUAUUAGGGAAGAACAAAUGUGUAAGUAACUAUGCACGUCUUGACGGUACCUAAUCAGAAAGCCACGGCUAACUACGUG
Molecule: ribosomal RNA, 497 nt
Filed under: uncultured bacterium
Lineage: Bacteria
Description: partial 16S ribosomal RNA
Rfam family: Bacterial small subunit ribosomal RNA
Source: RNAcentral